UACGGAGGGUGCAAGCGUUGCUCGGAAUCACUGGGCGUAAAGCGACCGCAGGCGGCCUGACAAGUCGGAUGUGAAAGCCCUGGGCUCAACUCAGGAAUUGCAUUCGAAACUGGCAGGCUCGAGUACGGGAGAGGGGGGUGGAAUUCCUGGUGUAGGGGUGAAAUUCGUUGAUAUCGGGAGGAACACCGGUGGCGAAGGCGGCGAUCUGGGUAGAUACUGACGCUGAGGUGCGAAAGCUAGGGGAGCAAACGGG
Molecule: ribosomal RNA, 253 nt
Filed under: uncultured bacterium
Lineage: Bacteria
Description: partial 16S ribosomal RNA
Rfam family: Bacterial small subunit ribosomal RNA
Source: RNAcentral